This is a long non-coding RNA of Neofelis nebulosa (Clouded leopard), 2102 nucleotides long. RefSeq lists it as uncharacterized. NCBI's taxonomy places the organism in Eukaryota, Metazoa, Chordata, Mammalia, Carnivora, Felidae. The transcript is spliced from 2 exons. The record is from RefSeq and is a predicted model, not a curated record.
GGUGAAUUCGGGGUUCUCCUGCUCCACCAUCUUUGCUUUCCUGUAAAAUUUCUUCUAAAAAAUUAUAUUACUCAGUUUUUCCACAAUGGACAGUUAAACAAAGUUUAAUAUAUCUUUUACACAUUUCAACAAGUAGCUUGUUCUAAUUUAUGAAUGAAAACUGUAGUAGGCCAUAAAAUAUUAACAUAAGGCAAAUAUGUGAAAAUUAUUUCAGAGCUUGUUUUUCAUAGAUCUGGACCUACUGGUACAAGAAUAGAACCUGCAUUAGAUGACUGACUGCAAACUUCUCCGUAAGUUGGCCUCCAGUAAUAAUGCUUUUUAAGGCCAUUGGAGACUUCUGCGAGAUACACAUGUCCAUCCACCACAAAUGGCUCCACAUCUGUAUUGUCUGGUUUUAGACGGCCUGUUUGAAUUAAGUCUGAAUAUGCCUGUGAUUUUUAAGAAAAGAACAAACUAUCAUUAAUAAAAUAGGUUGUUCAUUUAUUGUAAUUAAAUUUCUAUAUUCAAAUUAGCUGUACUGAUUUUCAGUUUAAAAUAUUUUGAGUAAAUUACUGAAUUUUAUUACUUUCCACAUAUAGAUUUUUGUUCACUUAAUUUCACAAUGAAAUUAGAAUCUUGCAAAAUUUAUUUCUAAGCUUUAAGGUAUUUUUUUGUCAUUUUAUGACUUCCAGAGUUAACAAUUCUCACUGUUACUGAUUUUAUGGGCCAAAAGGUCCCAUGGUUAAAAUUCCUACAGGGGAUCUUAAAUGAGGGACAUAAGGAGUUGUAUAUGCCCUUGAAAAUUUGAUGGCCAGGGACCCAUUUCUCAGAAAAAUAAUCAGAUUUUGGCAUCCAACUCUCUGGAGUUCAUAAACUCCCUGAAGCUCAUUUAUAGUCUGAGGCUAAGAGACCAUUUCCAUAUUAUUAGAUGGUGGCCUGACUGGUAGCCCCAUUCUUUUUUCAUUGUAGAAUUUUCUUUGUUUACCUCAUGGAUCAUUGGUAUGUAUGUAAGAUCACACAAACAUGUUAAGCUGGCUUGUGAGUAAGAUUGUGUACAGAGAUAGGCAGAAAUGUAGACAGUAAAAGAAAACUUCAGUUGCUUUCUGCUUUAUUCCAAGCUCACCUUAGUUUCUAGUGUGUAGAAUAUGUUUUUCUAAAAUCAAGAUUUAAAUAGUAUGUUUUAUUACUCGUUUUGGUGGUAGUUUUGGAUAGCCUUUUUGCAAAUUGAGAUUUUUAGCAUCUUCUUUCCAAAUCAAAAUUAUUUGUUACUAUGGUUUUUGUUUUGAAAGUAGUAUCAAGGGCUGUAUUUGCAUAAGCAGCAGUUAAAAGUACUGUAGGUCUCCAAAACCAUGUCUUGGUUUAAUUAUUGGGCAGCAGAUUAGAGAUUGUGCUGCAUCAAAUUUAGAAUAAAUCAACAAUUGUGAUUUUUAAAAUGUUUUAACUUUGGAGGAGUUGGGACUGUGUCAUUCAUUGAUCUUUAUACUAAUAUGUAGUAUUUGAGAUAUUUUGCUAUUUCAACCACAGAACUUUCCAGUCAUUUUUAGGGUUUAUUUUUAAAUGUAUCAGAACUGCAGUGUCUUACUAUAUUUUGUAGUCAUUCUUUUAAUAUUUAUUUUUGAGAGAGAGAGAGAGAGAGAGAGACCAAGCAAGUGAGCAGGGGAAGGAGAGAGAGAGAGGGAGAGAGAAAAUCCCAAGCAGGCUCAACUCUGGCAGUGCAGAGCCUGACCCAGGGCUCCAACUCAGCAAACAUGAGAUCAUGACCUGAGCUGAAAUCAAGAGUCAGACGCUUAACCCACUGAGCCACCCAGGUGCCCCAAUAUGUUAUAAUCAUUUCUAAGGCCACCUGUAAAUGUCUGAUGUUAUAGAGAAGACCCCAGAAAAAGCCUUCAGUGAAGAAGAAAGAAAAAAAAAAAACCCAAAACAUACCACACAUGUAGCUUCAUCAAAUUUGUUUCCCCAAAUGUAGACAUUAGAGAGUAUGGGGUUUGUUUUCAUGGACUGUGAAAGUGCAACAAGUCCUUCUCCCUUUAUGUUGUUGUUGACUACUGACAACCUAGGGAGAAACAAGAGGUAAUAACCCUGGAAACCAGUAAAUACUUUCACAAAGAAGAUGCAUAAGUUAG